This is a non-coding RNA of Enterococcus casseliflavus EC10, 79 nucleotides long. The record is from Rfam. Lineage: Bacteria; Bacillati; Bacillota; Bacilli; Lactobacillales; Enterococcaceae.
GCACUCUUUACAAGAGUCAGAAAGUGAUUUAGAAUUUUCGCUCCCUAUUCAUUUAUGGAUAGGGAGCUUUUAUUAUUUU